GGCUUGCCCCAAACUGCAACGGCUCGCUGGUCCGGACUACAACUCCCAGGGGCCCUCGCGGACGUCGAGCGGCAGCAAUCCGGAGGCGUCCGUCCUGUUGCCGGGCUAAUCCGGAAGUCCGUAGGAGUGUGCUAUUGGCUGCUAAAGAAGUAGGAUGGAGCCUUUGGAAGAGACGCUGAGCACCGGUAUCUCUGUGGACAGAGACCGAGGCUAGGAGGGAGUUGAACCAACUAACAGGAGCAAAUGAACUUGGACAAAUCGUAUGCUGUGGAUGGGCAAGUGUGGGGGCCGGAAGUGCCGGGGUUAGGUCAGCUGAUGGAUGUACGCAACGUAGCUGAGUAAGGAAGGCGGAAGGAGGGGACGUACCGAAUGUACAGCUCAACCAGUGUAGAGAAGACGGACCCGGAUGGAGGCGGGCGGUGGAUCGGAGGCAAGGACUCUUUUGCUGACCUUAAUUAGCUGCCAGUGUCAACUGUGUUUUGCAAAUAUUAAGUGGAAGAAGGGCCAGCAGUGAGAAGGCUCAGCUGAUUGGACUUAACAUCAAGCCUUGAAGAACUGAGUUGAUGGUGGAUGUAGAAAUUGACUCCUGCAAGUUUUCCUCUGAUCCACUAUCCAUUCAUAGAUGGAUAAAUAACUGUAUUAAACAUUUAAAAAGUUAAGUGAUAAAUUCUAGAAAUAAAGAACUCAUUAGGAUUAAAUGUAUUUUGCUGUGUCUAA
This is a long non-coding RNA of Mastomys coucha (southern multimammate mouse), 717 nucleotides long. RefSeq lists it as uncharacterized. The record is from RefSeq and is a predicted model, not a curated record. Lineage: Eukaryota; Metazoa; Chordata; Mammalia; Rodentia; Muridae. The transcript is spliced from 2 exons.